Molecule: long non-coding RNA, 2731 nt
Organism: Cynoglossus semilaevis (tongue sole)
Lineage: Eukaryota; Metazoa; Chordata; Actinopteri; Pleuronectiformes; Cynoglossidae
Exons: 5
Source: RefSeq, a predicted model, not a curated record
AAUUUGGGAGGUUUCGGGAGACGUUAAGGCCUCAGCAGGAGGACACGUUCAAACGGCCGCUGUCAGUGAGGCGGAGGCCGCGGUCAAUGAGGCGGAGGCCGCUGUUGUCACCGACCGCUGUGAGACGACACAUGACGCAUGAUAAGUGAUUGUUUAAUCAGUUCUACGUGUUAAUGGUGAUAUAAAACAAAAGUAUUUCAAUACGCAGUAAAACCCGGCCGCAGACAAACUCGUUGUCACCAGUGGAAUGACGCAACCUGCGAGGGAAGACCCAGGGUUUAGACGGCACCACUUUCCCAAACUAGUUGUAAAUCUGACUUCAGACGAGUCUGUGCCUCGGCAGCCAUGAACCUCACCGCACAUCACUGGAUGGUAUCGUCGUCCACCGACACUGACGUGUCACAGGGCAGCUAAACAUGGAAAACAGAACUGAAGAAGUUUCUUGGAUCAGAGGUGAAACGUCUUCGAGAAGUUGCCUUCGAUGUGAAGAUGACCAGGAUGACUGAGGAGCUACAGGACAAUGCAGGCUAGCUGUCCGUCCACCGAAGGCUCCGGCGACACUUGCUUCUCCCUGUUGGGGCUGACAAACACAGAGGAGGGGAAGGUGUAGGCCCGGGGGGGGCUUCCCAUGGGCAGGUAGAAGGGGAAGCCCUGAGGUGAGGCCCUGCCCUCCACGCCCAGGUGAAGAACUGGUUCCUGAAACACAGGUGAGAGUCCCAGCUGUUUUUUCCACAACUGAAGAACUUCAGCCCUUCCUCUCCAGAGUGGAACAUUUUUCGACUUUGACUCCGUGGGCCGUUGAACGCCAUGUUGGAAAAAGUCGAAAAUUGAGCCGGAGCACACGAGGCAGGUCGACAGAAACUGGUGAAUUACACACUUUUACAGAGAAAGGGCAGCGGUAACUCCCGUAAUUAACGGAGGAAAUGGAGAUGAAAAUUAUCUUAAAGAGAGUUGGAGUCGACAGUCGGAAUAACAGCGGAGUAAAGAGUAAAGGGGGGGGGAGGGAGGGGGAGGGAUCUGAGGUGGGAUUUAUGAACUUGAUCAGCUGAGGCUGCUCUGGGAUCGACUCGUCCUCCUGCGACGUCACAUCAGUUUGGGAGCAGGUUUGGGCCGACCUCGGUCGUGUCCGCCUUCUUUAGACGCAGCACGAGGUUUUAAUCUGGUUCUAAUCAUAAAUCACACCAAGCACUUCUCUUCUCUGGGAGGGAAGAGAAGCGUGAACAUAUUUUAAAGCUGAGUCUGUGUUUUUAACAUUAACACUGGAUCGUGUGACGCUGCAGACGAAGGAAAAUCUCAUAGAAAAAGUCUUUUUUUUGUUGUUUUUUUUACUAUUUCUCAAAGUGUUUUAAGAGUUCAUUUAGAGUGAACUGAAAUGGUUAAAUAAUAAUAUAUAUGUAUUACUAACCCUUACCUGUUUUUUUGGUUUUUCCUGUUUCUACAAUUUUGAAAGAUGCAGUGAGUCCUUAAAAGUAUUUUUUCAUGCCCAGUUCUGUUGAUGCUAGGAUGCUGCCCUCUGUCUGUAGUUCUUUUUUUUUUUUAGUAGUUGAAGCACGUGAGACGAAAACCUUCCGCAGUAACAAAACACUCCACCAGUAGGUGGCGAUAAUUCUCAUGAUUGAAACUAAAGCUGAAACAAUCACUUUAUUAAUCAUCUCAAAUGGAUUGAUUGAGAUUUUAAAUUAUUUAUUUAUCAUCUAUAAUGUUUUAUUUUGUCGGUUUCGCUGCAGCAUUUACAUAAAUAUUUUUGUGUUUCGUUUACUUUUGUUCUUUUUGUGGUGGUUGUUACUUUUAUUCAGAGGGUUAUUUUUUCCCAUUUAUAAUUAAAACUAACUAAUAAUUUAAAAAGUUUUAAAACUUCAGCUGCAGCUCUAGUUCAAAGGUAGAAACCAACACGUUAACACACCAUGUGACCAUGUGACCACAGUGUGUUUCGCUCCGUGAUGACGGUUACGUCACAAAGAACACGCAGUAAUAAAACUGUGUCAAAUCACCCGCUGCAGUGACCCCUGCAGAGGGCAGCAGCUAAACCUCCCAAAAAACAUUACUUUAUUGCACCCUGUUGCCCAACCUCUCGCCCCCCCCCCCCCUCACCCCCCCACCCCUAACAUCGACCCAUUUGUCAUCGUCUGACAGCAGAAAUCCCGCCCACAUCGCGGCCCAUUAAAGCCAUUUCAACAUAAAUAACCGUUUUUUUUAUCGCCCUCAGCAGAUUUCAGCGUCACAGGCGGCGAACCUUGUCGUCACUUCAACGCCCUGAGGAUUUUUUUUUUUUAACGUCGAGCUCGGACCGGGUUUUAUUAAACUUUAUUGAAUGUUAAUAUUAUUUGGGUCCAGGGACUCGGGUCUGGACGUUUUCAUGUUUCGCCCGCAGCAGGUGACGUGGGGUCAGACGUCUGAUACCCCGGACCGAGGGCAGAUCUCUGGUAAUUAAACGCCCAAUUAAACCAGGAGCUGAUUGGACAGGAGCCGGCAGAGCUAGCUAUUCCUUUUAGCCACGAGCUCCUCCAUGUUGGAACUGAAGUUCAGAACACUUUGGUCCAACAAAGAAGAGCCGGUGGUCAGUCUGUCCGCUCACAUCCGGACGCCAACAGUCAGAGGUAAAAGACAACGGAAACAUCUCGUAUCAAGGUUCCCAAACUACGGCGGGGUCAAACAGACCUAACCUCACCAGACAACGUCAGGAGAAACGUUUUCCAAAUUUCAGACAAUAUUUCAAAACAGUUUGAAAAAC